CGCUGUCAUAUUGCUAAUACAGUACGAGCGCUUACUCUCAAUCGAUACAAGUCAGUCGAACACGUUCAUACAGGAUGUACAAGUUAAUUGUACUUACGGCGUUCUUAUUCUUAUAUAUAUUGAUACUCGACGCAAUUAAGGAAAAUCCGCUACUCGAAGCAAUUAAGAAUAUUGUUAGAUUAUAGCAAACGGCUGCGUAGCGUACAUGGAUGGAAGGUGUGAUGGAAAUGAUAAUAUUUUCGCUUCGAUUGAACAAUACGCUUUCAUCUGUGACUACUAUCAUUCCUGUUUCAACCUUUUCUUGUUUCAUCCUGUACUUAUAUUCGAUGUAAUUUCGAAAUUAAAGAAAGCUGCAUCAUAACUUACUAAAUGUAUUUUACAAUCAAAUUGUGUAAUUAUUUGAAAUAAAACCGCAUUCUCUUCUUU
Galleria mellonella (greater wax moth) is the source of this 426-nucleotide long non-coding RNA. RefSeq lists it as uncharacterized. The record is from RefSeq and is a predicted model, not a curated record. The transcript has 3 exons. Lineage: Eukaryota; Metazoa; Arthropoda; Insecta; Lepidoptera; Pyralidae.